CCUACGGGAGGCAGCAGUGGGGAAUAUUGGGCAAUGGGCGCAAGCCUGACCCAGCAACGCCGCGUGAAGGAAGAAGGCCCUCGGGUUGUAAACUUCUUUUAUCAAGGACGAAACAAAUGACGGUACUUGGUGAAUAAGCUACGGCUAACUACGUGCCAGCAGCCGGGGUAAUAAGUAGGGGGCAAGCGGUUUCCGGAUUUACUGGGGGUAAAGGGGGUGGUGGCGGGACUGCAAGUCAGAUGUUAAAACCAUGGGCUCAACCCAUGGCCUGCAUUGGAAACUGUAGUUCUUGAGUGUUGUAGAGGCAGGCGGAAUUCCGUGUGUAGCGGUGAAAUGCGUAGAUAUACGGAAGAACACCAGUGGCGAAGGCAGCCUGCUGGACAAUAACUGACGCUGAGGCGCGAAAGCGUGGGGAGCAAACAGGAUUAGAUACCCGGGUAGUC
RNAcentral lists this ribosomal RNA (443 nucleotides) under uncultured bacterium. RNAcentral's name for it is "partial 16S ribosomal RNA". It matches the Rfam family "Bacterial small subunit ribosomal RNA", at positions 338 to 795 of the family's 1533-position model. The record is from RNAcentral.